Molecule: long non-coding RNA, 2094 nt
Organism: Mirounga angustirostris (Northern elephant seal)
Lineage: Eukaryota; Metazoa; Chordata; Mammalia; Carnivora; Phocidae
Exons: 4
Source: RefSeq, a predicted model, not a curated record
UGAACUUGGUUUACAAUUUAGUUUCACGCGCAUGCGUCUUCCUUCAAACCGUUCCGUCGCCUUACCCGCCAGAGUGGGGGAGGGGAAUGGCGGCAAUCAAUUCCCCGUAGGGACCGUAUGUAAGGCAGUCCCGCGCUCUGGGUUGUGAGGUGGGUGGUGAGGUGGCCGUGUUCCUACCCCUUCCCUAGCCUAUUAUCCGCGCCCCGGGCCGACCUGAAGGGACAGUCGCUCCCUGCCUUGGUGCCUCCUGUACCCCUUUUCUCCCUAGAGCCAGCCCGUGACCCCCUGGGCCUCUCCUGGGGGCUGCAACACCAGGAGCACGUCCGAGGCGUGUAUGCCUCCGCUCCCCUUACCUGCCACCGUCGGACCUGGGGCCCGGAGCCGCGCGGGGUCCCCGUGCCCGUGCCUCAGUCCUGUACCCCGCUUUUGCCCUAACGAACUCGCACCCCGCGACCCCCGCUGCGGCGCCCCGGGGUAGGCGGGCCCUGAACGCCGCGGGGCGCUCGCACGAGAAGCGGUGGCCGGACGCCGCGUCCCGCUGCGCCUCGUGAGCGCCAGACUCCGCUCGUCUGAGCGGGUUCCCGCUCAAUUCUUCCAAGGCCAAGUGGGUACCGUUAGAUGCAUUUCCCGGGUGGAGACACUGGGAAAAUGACCCCGGGUCUCCCCGUGUGCGCCUAUGGCACAAGAUGAGUGAGGUUCGUGAUUCCCACCAGCACUGCGGAAAACCGACGCGCCUGCCCUCUCCCGCUCGGGCCUGACGGACACAGGCCAUAAACACGUUCACAAGGAGGUAGCGUGGGACGGUGAGUGAAGGCCUCUCCGAAUGCCGCCACGGAAAGAUGCGGGCGCAGCGUGUCCCCGCCGAGGUGCAGUGGUCUGGAGUCCGAAAACAGGGUUGAGAAAACUAGAGAAAGACACCGAUGGAGUAAAGAGGAACGGUGAUCCUAGGCCUUUGCAAAUGGGGAUUCCUCUGCCCAGAGCACUCUCCCCCAGAUACCGUCAUCACCAGCUCCCACACUAGAAUGUUGGUUCCGUCGCUAGCACUGGGACAGAGUGCCUGGCACGUAAUAGACAUCAACAAAGAAAGCGAGAGAGCACAAGCAGGCGGAACAGUAGAGGGAGAGGGAGCCCGAAGCAGGGCUCGAUCCCAGGAACCCCGGGGUCAUGACCUGAGCCGGAGGCAGAUGCUCAACCAUCUGAGCUACCCAGGUGCCCUGAGGCUAUUUGCAGUCUUGGCUCAUCUUGCUUGAUAACCACCUUGUAACCAGGAAGCCCCACGGAACCCGAGAGUCUACAUCUGGGCUUGAGUGGUGGAGGCUAAGGAGAAGGAAGGUGCGCAGGCAGGCAUGAGAACGCCAAGCUCCGCUGGUGAGGGGAGGAUUGCAAAGUCUUUCUGAAGAGUUGAAAGUAGACCACGUGUGUGCCAGUUGAGCUCCAGCACAUGUGCCUUGGGGCACUGGGACCAGCUCACAGGGCACAUAGCACUUAUUUUCAGCAGAAAAAAAAAAUUUUUUUAUCCUACUUAAAUGUGAAUUUGAAUAUUUUUGAUUAAUAGGUAAUUUAUACAUUUAUUAUGCUUUUAUAUUUAGAAGUUGGAAAUCAAUGAAUGUAUGGUAAGUUUAUGUUUCUAGGCAUUUGAACAAGAUGGUGAGGUGGGUUAAUAUUUUGGAAUUUUAGCCCCUGUAUAGUUUUUGUCCUAAAUAGUUCUCUUUUACACAGGUACCUGUUAUCACCUAAAUGAAAGUGAGGCUUUCUGCAGAAAACAGAACAACUUUCUGGGCUUUCAACUUCCAAAAUAGGCUCUGAACAAUUGUGUUGGAUUGUGAAAGCCUGACUUUUUUUUUAAGUUGUAAAGUUGGAAAUUGUCCAAGGAGGGGCACCUGGGGGGCUCAGUCAGUUAAGCGACUGACUCUUGAUUUCAUCUUGGGUCCUGAUUUUAGGGUUGUGAGAUCAAGCCCUGGGCUGGGCUCCUCGCUGAGUGUGGAGCCUGCUUAAGAUUCUCUCUCCCUCUCCAUCUGCCCUUCCUCCCUCACCCCUGUUCGUGCGUGCUCUCUCUCUCAAAGUAAUAAAAUAAAAUAAAACUUGUACAUGGAA